UGGGGAAUUUUGCGCAAUGGGCGAAAGCCUGAUCCAGCCAUGCCGCGUGAGUGAAGAAGGCUCUAGGGUUGUAAAGCUCUUUCAGUCGUGACGAUGAUGACGGUAGCGACAGAAGAAGCCCCGGCUAACUCCGUGCCAGCAGCCGCGGUAAUACGGAGGGGGCAAGCGUUGUUCGGAUUUACUGGGCGUAAAGGGCGCGUAGGCGGGCGAUCAAGUCAGGGGUGAAAGGCCUGGGCUCAACCUGGGACGUGCCUUUGAAACUGAUUGUCUUGAGUGCGGGAGAGGGUGACGGAAUUCCCAGUGUAGAGGUGAAAUUCGUAGAUAUUGGGAAGAACACCGGUGGCGAAGGCGGUCACCUGGCCCGCAACUGACGCUGAGGCGCGAAAGCGUGGGGAGCAAACAGGAUUAGAUACCCGUGUAGUCC
Molecule: ribosomal RNA, 424 nt
Filed under: uncultured prokaryote
Description: bacterial SSU rRNA
Rfam family: Bacterial small subunit ribosomal RNA
Source: RNAcentral